GUGAGGAAUAUUGCGCAAUGGAGGCAACUCUGACGCAGCCAUGCCGCGUGCAGGAAGAAGGCGCUACGCGUUGUAAACUGCUUUUAACCGGGAAGAAACCCCAGGACGUGUCCUGGGUUGACGGUACCGGAGGAAUAAGCACCGGCUAACUUCGUGCCAGCAGCCGCGGUAAUACGAAGGGUGCAAGCGUUAUCCGGAUUCAUUGGGUUUAAAGGGUGCGUAGGCGGAGCGUUAAGUCAGUGGUGAAAUCCUGCAGCUUAACUGUAGGCUUGCCAUUGAUACUGGCGCUCUUGAGUGCGCUUGAAGUGGGCGGAAUGUGCCGUGUAGCGGUGAAAUGCUUAGAUAUGGCACAGAACACCAAUUGCGAAGGCAGCUCACUAAGGCGAUACUGACGCUGAGGCACGAAAGCGUGGGGAUCGAACAGGAUUAGAUACCCCUGUAGUCC
RNAcentral lists this ribosomal RNA (445 nucleotides) under uncultured bacterium. Its description in RNAcentral is "partial 16S ribosomal RNA". It matches the Rfam family "Bacterial small subunit ribosomal RNA", at positions 354 to 796 of the family's 1533-position model. The record is from RNAcentral.